UUAAGUUUAGAAUUUAGUUGAGCAUUGAUAUUAUGGAAUAAGAUAAAAUUAUUCAGACUGUUUGAAGGUUUUGCUAAACUAACUUAAGCUGACUUUCAUCUUUGGACCAGCAUUUAAUUUUAACUUCCACCAUCAACUAAACUGGGUGUAUCCUUGAUGAAGAUGCCAACAAAAGUUGUUUCCUUCAGAUGAGCCAUAAAAUCCUGAAGUUUGAUGCUCACACAGCCUGACGUGAUGAUCGGGAGAUAACUUCAUCUACUUAACAGACUACAUCUCUACUUUGACAAGUGAUGCCCCCCGUGGCUCGCCGUCCACCUGAGCGAGGCCUCAUACGUCUCCUGACAAAGUGACUAAUCCUCCCAUUUCACAGCUCCAGCCUGCUGCUCCCUGCAAAUGUUCAAAGCUGAGCGUGUGUGUGUGUGUGAUGCGUGACAGGUGGGUGCAUGUCACACAAGUUCAAGGUGUUUUUUUUGUUGUUGUAACAAGCGACUCAGACAGCUGCUGAGCUUUGAGUGAUUAGAGAUAUAACUCCAUCACUGACGCUUCACCUGAGCUACAUCACUUCCUGAUGUCUUGUUGACAGAUUCUUGAAAAUGAGGUUCACCGACACAAGAAAAAGUUUCUCCUUUUGUUCCCUCAGAUUAGAAAGUAAUGUUCCCCUCAACUUUGAAAUUAGCAUGUUAUUUCCGGUGAAUCCACCUCCAGUAUCAGGCCUCAGCUGGUGAUAUAAGCUGAGGAAGGAAUGAUCAUAACUAUAAAUCACUGAACUCUGUUCUUGCUGUGUGUCUGCUAGCACUGAUUGAUUAUGGGAACUACAGUAAGAGAGAGCAGGAUGAUCUUUUUAAAGAAAUGGUUCUCCCUAAAAUUGAUAAAACCCCCAGAGAUGAAGCAAGUACAGGAUCUGUGUGUGUGCAUGUGUGUGUUCUGCUGCUGAAAUGUCAUUUUUCACCUUUUAACCUUUUGAUGUAUUAAGAGUUAGUAAUUGUGCAAUUAUCUUAAUUACAUGUGAACUUUAAUUAUACACUGGACAGAUGAACUUGGUAAAAGUAAAAGGUGUUCAGAACUGAAAUGAAAAGUGUUUUAGUACAACAGCUAGAAACUCGGUGCAUUGCAGUUUUACUCCAGCAUGUUAAAUCAAGGCUAUGUUGGUGAUCUGAUUAAGUCCAAAUUAAAUCCAAAACAACAUUUUUGGAUUUAAUUUCCCUCUUUUUAGAAAUUCUGGUAAAUAUUCAUAAAUAGUUUGGUGCUAUAAAGCAGACUAUUGAAAUAUUAGUCAUAUUUUAACACUUUUCCAGUGAUUUGUGUUGCAUAUUUUACAGUAAAGUUUGGAUUAGAGGUGCACAAUAAAUCAGUCACUAUGGUCACCCCAUGUUUGCCAACUUAACAACUUCUCUGACUAAACACAUUUAUAUUGGCCAAUAAUUUUUAAAGAUUGGUGAUCGGUUAAAGAAUGAGUGAGUUGCUAGUUAACCAAAGAGUGAGUGAGUUAGUUGAAGUCACCGACUUAACAAGACAUACGGAGGCUGAGCGGCCAUAUUUGUGUAUCACAGCAUAUAGUGAUCUUGACUUAAUGUCCAGUCCUGUCCCUAACUGGACCAGGUUCCUACAGUCUGUGUCAGCAUUAUACUAUAAAAUAGAGUCACAAAGGCUGCUUGUGGAAACAUUUGUCAAAAAUAAAAAUGUGGGUCCAUUUAGAGACCCCAUCUUUCUCAUAUUGUAUGUUGUGCUGUUGGUUUAAAGCUCAGAACACGGGACAGUUACUUUAAUAUACAUGUACAACAUGAAUAUUUCCCGUCCUUUACCCCAGUUUCAUUCAUACUGCAGAUUAAUUACUAAUGAUUCUAUGAAUGAUAUGUGAGGUUUUCUUAAACAAGCUUUAGUUGCUGCAAUUUGGCAGAGAAUAGAGUAAAUACCGUGACUAAAGAACAACCAUUAGCCGUCCUCUGGUGACUCCACCACCCUGCAGUGUGCUGCCUGUCUCCACUCUCACUACAUCAGCUGUGGGAUGUAAUUGCAGCAGGCACCAACAAAACAGCCUUGGAGGUGUCCUUCGUGUCUUUGGCCCAAAGCCUCGCGGACUGAGGCGGGGUCCGGGUGAUGCAGACCACCAAACAC
This is a long non-coding RNA of Poeciliopsis prolifica (blackstripe livebearer), 2115 nucleotides long. RefSeq lists it as uncharacterized. NCBI's taxonomy places the organism in Eukaryota, Metazoa, Chordata, Actinopteri, Cyprinodontiformes, Poeciliidae. The transcript has 3 exons. The record is from RefSeq and is a predicted model, not a curated record.